RNAcentral lists this ribosomal RNA (1393 nucleotides) under Clavibacter michiganensis subsp. michiganensis. RNAcentral's name for it is "bacterial SSU rRNA". It matches the Rfam family "Bacterial small subunit ribosomal RNA". Lineage: Bacteria; Bacillati; Actinomycetota; Actinomycetes; Micrococcales; Microbacteriaceae. The record is from RNAcentral.
CAUGCAGUCGAACGGUGAUGUCAGAGCUUGCUCUGGCGGAUCAGUGGCGAACGGGUGAGUAACACGUGAGUAACCUGCCCCCGACUCUGGGAUAACUGCUAGAAAUGGUAGCUAAUACCGGAUAUGACGAUUGGCCGCAUGGUCUGGUCGUGGAAAGAAUUUCGGUUGGGGAUGGACUCGCGGCCUAUCAGGUUGUUGGUGAGGUAAUGGCUCACCAAGCCUACGACGGGUAGCCGGCCUGAGAGGGUGACCGGCCACACUGGGACUGAGACACGGCCCAGACUCCUACGGGAGGCAGCAGUGGGGAAUAUUGCACAAUGGGCGAAAGCCUGAUGCAGCAACGCCGCGUGAGGGAUGACGGCCUUCGGGUUGUAAACCUCUUUUAGUAGGGAAGAAGCGAAAGUGACGGUACCUGCAGAAAAAGCACCGGCUAACUACGUGCCAGCAGCCGCGGUAAUACGUAGGGUGCAAGCGUUGUCCGGAAUUAUUGGGCGUAAAGAGCUCGUAGGCGGUUUGUCGCGUCUGCUGUGAAAUCCCGAGGCUCAACCUCGGGUCUGCAGUGGGUACGGGCAGACUAGAGUGCGGUAGGGGAGAUUGGAAUUCCUGGUGUAGCGGUGGAAUGCGCAGAUAUCAGGAGGAACACCGAUGGCGAAGGCAGAUCUCUGGGCCGUAACUGACGCUGAGGAGCGAAAGCAUGGGGAGCGAACAGGAUUAGAUACCCUGGUAGUCCAUGCCGUAAACGUUGGGAACUAGAUGUGGGGACCAUUCCACGGUCUCCGUGUCGCAGCUAACGCAUUAAGUUCCCCGCCUGGGGAGUACGGCCGCAAGGCUAAAACUCAAAGGAAUUGACGGGGGCCCGCACAAGCGGCGGAGCAUGCGGAUUAAUUCGAUGCAACGCGAAGAACCUUACCAAGGCUUGACAUAUACCGGAAACAUGCAGAAAUGUGUGCCCCGCAAGGUCGGUAUACAGGUGGUGCAUGGUUGUCGUCAGCUCGUGUCGUGAGAUGUUGGGUUAAGUCCCGCAACGAGCGCAACCCUCGUUCUAUGUUGCCAGCACGUAAUGGUGGGAACUCAUAGGAGACUGCCGGGGUCAACUCGGAGGAAGGUGGGGAUGACGUCAAAUCAUCAUGCCCCUUAUGUCUUGGGCUUCACGCAUGCUACAAUGGCCGGUACAAAGGGCUGCGAUACCGUAAGGUGGAGCGAAUCCCAAAAAGCCGGUCUCAGUUCGGAUUGAGGUCUGCAACUCGACCUCAUGAAGUCGGAGUCGCUAGUAAUCGCAGAUCAGCAACGCUGCGGUGAAUACGUUCCCGGGCCUUGUACACACCGCCCGUCAAGUCAUGAAAGUCGGUAACACCCGAAGCCAGUGGCCUAACCGCAAGGGAGGAGCGUCGAA